This 400-nucleotide long non-coding RNA is filed under the name Monodelphis domestica (gray short-tailed opossum). Its description in RNAcentral is "lncRNA (ENSMODG00000039322.1)". Lineage: Eukaryota; Metazoa; Chordata; Mammalia; Didelphimorphia; Didelphidae. The record is from RNAcentral.
CUCCCUUGUUUUUCUAUCUCUAUCCUCUUAUUUUUAAAAGGAAUAAGUAAAAUCCUUUUCACCCAUCUUACAAGUAAUUUAAAAUUUCAUUUAAAAAACCAUCAGUUUGAAGUUCAUCUACAAACUACAUUUUACAGAUAAGGAAGCUGAGGCCCAGAGAAGCUGGAUCCAAUUUCAGAUCACACACACUAUCCAUAGGAGUCCCUCAGAGUUCUCUCUUAGAUCCACUUCUCUUCUCCCUGUAUAUUAUUGUACUUGGAAGUUCAGCUCCUCUUAACUCUGUUGCCAUCUGUAGGAUAGGAUCUGGGUCUCUGAUUCCAUUAUGAUGAAACUCUAAGUUGAAGACACAAAUUCAAAAGGGAUAAGAGACUUGUCUAAGACCACAGAGCAAGAAUGUUUA